UACGUAGGGGGCUAGCGUUGUCCGGAAUCAUUGGGCGUAAAGAGCGUGUAGGCGGUCCGGUAAGUCCGUUGUGAAAGUCAGGGGCUCAACCCUUGAAUGCCGGCGGAUACUGUCGGGCUAGAGUCCGGAAGAGGCGAGUGGAAUUCCCGGUGUAGCGGUGAAAUGCGCAGAUAUCAGGAGGAACACCGGUGGCAAAGGCGGGUCUCUGGGCCGAUACUGACGCUGAGGAGCGAAAGCAUGGGUAGCGAACAGG
RNAcentral lists this ribosomal RNA (253 nucleotides) under uncultured bacterium. RNAcentral describes it as "partial 16S ribosomal RNA". It matches the Rfam family "Bacterial small subunit ribosomal RNA", at positions 524 to 776 of the family's 1533-position model. The record is from RNAcentral.